RNAcentral lists this non-coding RNA (26 nucleotides) under Homo sapiens (human). The record is from RNAcentral. Lineage: Eukaryota; Metazoa; Chordata; Mammalia; Primates; Hominidae.
UGUCUCAGAGGAGUACCCGGCCGUGG